CCUACGCGAGGCAGCAGUGGGGAAUAUUGCACAAUGGGGGAAACCCUGAUGCAGCGACGCCGCGUGAGUGAAGAAGUAAUUCGUUAUGUAAAGCUCUAUCAGCAGGGAAGAAAAUGACGGUACCUGAGUAAGAAGCCCCGGCUAACUACGUGCCAGCAGCCGCGGUAAUACGUAGGGGGCAAGCGAUAUCCGGAUUUACUGGGUGUAAAGGGAGCGUAGACGGCAGUGCAAGUCUGGAGUGAAAGGCCGGGGCUAAACCCCCGGACUGCUCUGGAAACUGUACGGCUGGAGUGCAGGAGAGGUAAGUGGAAUUCCUAGUGUAGCGGUGAAAUGCGUAGCUAUUAGGAGGAACACCAGUGGCGAAGGCGGCUUACUGAACUGUAACUGACGUUGAGGCUCGAAAGCGUGGGGAGCAAACAGGAUUAGAUACCCUUGUAGUC
RNAcentral lists this ribosomal RNA (440 nucleotides) under uncultured bacterium. RNAcentral's name for it is "partial 16S ribosomal RNA". It matches the Rfam family "Bacterial small subunit ribosomal RNA", at positions 338 to 795 of the family's 1533-position model. The record is from RNAcentral.